UAAUACGGAGGGUGCAAGCGUUAAUCGGAAUUACUGGGCGUAAAGCGCGCGUAGGCGGCUGAGUAAGUCGAUUGUGAAAUCCCCGGGCUCAACCUGGGAAUUGCAGUCGAGACUGCUCGGCUAGAGUGUGGGAGAGGGUGGUGGAAUUCCCGGUGUAGCGGUGAAAUGCGUAGAUAUCGGGAGGAACAUCAGUGGCGAAGGCGACCACCUGGCCCAACACUGACGCUGAGGUGCGAAAGCGUGGGUAGCAAACAGGAUUAGAUACCCUGGUAGUCCACGCCGUAAACGAUGUCGACUAGCCGUUGGAGACCUUAGAGUCUUUAGUGGCGCAGCUAACGCACUAAGUCGACCGCCUGGGGAGUACGGCCGCAAGGUUA
Molecule: ribosomal RNA, 377 nt
Filed under: uncultured bacterium
Lineage: Bacteria
Description: bacterial SSU rRNA
Rfam family: Bacterial small subunit ribosomal RNA
Source: RNAcentral